This is a small nuclear RNA of Talpa occidentalis (Iberian mole), 164 nucleotides long. RefSeq annotates it as U1 spliceosomal RNA. Lineage: Eukaryota; Metazoa; Chordata; Mammalia; Eulipotyphla; Talpidae. The record is from RefSeq and is a predicted model, not a curated record. The transcript has a single exon.
UUCCUUACCUGGCAGGGGAGAUGCCGUGAUCACGAAGGUGACUUUUCCAGAGCAAGACUCAUCCAUUGCAUUCCAGAUGUGCUGACCCCUGCUAUUUCCCCAAACAUGGGAAACUCGACUGCCUCAUGUGUGGCCACGGGGGACUGUGUUCGUGCUCUCCCCUA